Molecule: long non-coding RNA, 1016 nt
Organism: Panicum hallii
Lineage: Eukaryota; Viridiplantae; Streptophyta; Magnoliopsida; Poales; Poaceae
Exons: 6
Source: RefSeq, a predicted model, not a curated record
CGCCAAGGCCAAGCACCUACGCGUGCUGCUGCCAUUUACCUGCGACGCUCUGCGCAUCCCCGACGAGGUCGCCGUGGAAAUCGGCGCGGAGGAGGCCCUAAUCGUCGGCCCAGCCAGCGGCAAGGUCAUCUGGCCCGUCGAGGUCGGGCAGGACGGCGACGGCGCGUUCCUGGGCCGCGGGUGGCCGGAGUUCGCGGGCUCCUCGUCCUCCGCCACCGCGGCCGCGGCGUCCUCUCCGCCAAGGCGUUCGACGCCACCUUCUGCCUAAGGGAGCUCGGCGGCGCACCAGCUCCCCCUGCAGUUGAAGCUACCGCGAGCAGCAAAGAUUCCAUCCAUAAGCCAAAGUUCAUCAGAGUGCUUCCACGAGAUUUCAUGGAAAAGAUGCUAAUACCUGCUAAGUUCGUGCAACAGUACAUCGCCAAAGAGCUCCUAGACAAUCGUAUGGCCAUCAUUUUGGGCCCUAUUGGCAAAGUUUAUAACAUUAAGCUCGAAGUGGGGCAUUCGGGCGUGUUCUUCGCAGGUGGUUGGUCACAGUUUCUCAGGGUUCAUGACAUUACUGAAGCUAAUUCUCUGCUGUUAAGGUACGAGGGAAACAUGGUUUUUACAGUCAAAGUUUUUGAGCCCGAUGGAUACCAGAGAGAAGCCAAGCACAAGAAAAACAGAGUUCUACAAAUAUCAACAUUGCCACAUAUUCAAGAGCAGAAGGAAACACCAUCUGCUUCCGUUCAGAAGCAGUUGAAGAACAAUUUACCAACUGUUAUUGGAGAAAAGAAACCACAAGACUCCAAAACUUCUCUGGACCUGGCAUCAUUAAAGUAGACCUCUGUCUAUGAGAUCGGGCCACCAUCCUGGAUAGAGAAGCAGAUCAAUGCCAACACACUCAAACGUCGUCUUGUUUUGCCAAAUGCUUUCUGUGAUGCUAUUGGGUUGCGGGAACAUUGCACGAUCACACUCAAGACCUCAAGCAAUGGUAGCGGAUCUUGGCAGGUACAUGGUUACCCAUCCAGGGAUAGCGG